RNAcentral lists this ribosomal RNA (509 nucleotides) under uncultured Antarctic soil bacterium. RNAcentral describes it as "bacterial SSU rRNA". It matches the Rfam family "Bacterial small subunit ribosomal RNA", at positions 1 to 508 of the family's 1533-position model. The record is from RNAcentral.
GUGUUUUCCUUUUGGGGGCCUUGGGGGACGCUAUCGUUUAGCUUAACACAUCCAAGUCGUGGGAGAAUUUUGGUGUUUUGACCAAAAGGAGACCGGCGAAUGGGUGAGUAACGCGUAGGCAAUCUGCCUGGGAGACGGGGAUAACCCACCGAAAGGUGAGCUAAUACCGGAUGAUGCAGCGGGGUCGCAUGACCCUGUUGUUAAAGGUUUCGGCCACUCCCAUAUGAGCCUGCGUGCCAUUAGCUAGUUGGUGCGGUAACGGCGCACCAAGGCGAUGAUGGCUAGGGGGUCUGAGAGGAUGAUCCCCCACACUGGGACUGAGACACGGCCCAGACUCCUACGGGAGGCAGCAGUGAGGAAUCUUGCGCAAUGGGGGCAACCCUGACGCAACCCGCCCCGUGCCGGAAGACGGCCCUUUUGGUUGUAAACGGCUUUUAUGUGGGAAUAAAUUUCCCAAUUUUUUCGGGACUUACGGUACCCACCAGAAUAAGAACCGGCUUACUUCCUUU